This 33-nucleotide ribosomal RNA is filed under the name Mycosphaerella asteroma. RNAcentral's name for it is "partial 28S ribosomal RNA". The record is from RNAcentral. Lineage: Eukaryota; Fungi; Ascomycota; Dothideomycetes; Mycosphaerellales; Mycosphaerellaceae.
UUAUCAAGGAUGAGGGAGCAAACAAAAGGGAGA